RNAcentral lists this ribosomal RNA (449 nucleotides) under uncultured bacterium. RNAcentral describes it as "partial 16S ribosomal RNA". It matches the Rfam family "Bacterial small subunit ribosomal RNA", at positions 29 to 523 of the family's 1533-position model. The record is from RNAcentral.
AACGAACGCUGGCGGCAGGCUUAACACAUGCAAGUCGAACGAGAUCUUCGGAUCUAGUGGCAGACGGGUGAGGAACACGUGGGAACAUCCCUUUCAGUUCGGAAUAACGUUGGGAAACUAACGCUAAUACCGGAUACGUCCUUCGGGAGAAAGAUUUAUCGCUGAAAGAUUGGCCCGCGUCUGAUUAGCUAGUUGGUGAGGUAAUGGCUCACCAAGGCUACGAUCAGUAGCGGAUCUGAGAGGAUGAUCAGCCACAUUGGGACUGAGACACGGCCCAAACUCCUACGGGAGGCAGCAGUGGGGAAUAUUGGACAAUGGGCGCAAGCCUGAUCCAGCCAUGCCGCGUGAGUGAUGAAGGCCUUCGGGUUGUAAAGCUCUUUUAUCCGGGAAGAUAAUGACUGUACCGGAAGAAUAAGCCCCGGCAAACUUCGUGCCAGCCGCCGCAGUAA